This 253-nucleotide ribosomal RNA is filed under the name uncultured bacterium. RNAcentral describes it as "partial 16S ribosomal RNA". It matches the Rfam family "Bacterial small subunit ribosomal RNA", at positions 524 to 776 of the family's 1533-position model. The record is from RNAcentral.
UACGUAGGGUGCGAGCGUUAAUCGGAAUUACUGGGCGUAAAGCGUGUGCAGGCGGUUCUCCAAGUCCGCUGUGAAAGCCCCGGGCUCAACCUGGGAAUGGCAGUGGAAACUAGGGGACUGGAAUCUGGCAGAGGGGAGUGGAAUGCCGCGUGUAGCAGUGAAAUGCGUAGAGAUGCGGCGGAACACCGAUGGCGAAGGCAGCCCCCUGGGCUGAGAUUGACGCUCAGGCACGAAAGCGUGGGGAGCAAACAGG